GACGAACGCUGGCGGCGUGCUUAACACAUGCAAGUCGAACGAAGUGGCGAGCGGGUGAGUAACGCGUAAUCAACCUGCCCUUCAGGGGGGGACUACAGUUGAAAACGACUGCUAAUACCGCAUACUUAAGGCGGGGAUUGCGUCGGAUUAGCUCGUUGGAGGGGUAACGGCCCACCAGGGCGAUGAUCAGUAGCCGGGCUGAGAGGAUGACCGGCCACACUGGGACUGAGACACGGCCCAGACUCCUACGGGAGGCAGCAGUGGGGAAUAUUGCGCAAUGGACGAAAGUCUGACGGAGCAACGCCGCGUGAGUGAUGACGGCCUUAGGGUUGUAAAGCUCUGUUAAUCGGGAGGGGGUACCGGAAUAGAAGGCCACGGCAAACUACGUGCAGGCGGCCGCGGUAAUA
Molecule: ribosomal RNA, 407 nt
Filed under: uncultured bacterium
Lineage: Bacteria
Description: partial 16S ribosomal RNA
Rfam family: Bacterial small subunit ribosomal RNA
Source: RNAcentral